AACUUUUGGCAAUGGAUCACUUGGCUCUCGCAUCGAUGAAGAACGCAGCGAAAGGCGAUACGUAAUGUGAAUUACAGAAUUCAGUGAAUCAUAGAAUCUUUGAACGCACCUUGCGCCCCUUGGCAUUCCGAGGGACACACCCGUUUGAGUGUGGUGCAAUUCUCACAACCUUUUCCUUUGCCGGAAAGUAUUUUGGACUUGGAGGCCUUUUGCUGGUUUCACCUCGUAGCGAGCUCCUCCCAAAUGGAUUAGUGGGGUCUGCUUUGCCGAUCCUUGACGUGAUAAGAUGCUUCUACGUCUCGGGUUUUGGCACUGUGCCUCUGCUUCUAACCGUCUCAUUGACAACGAUGGUGUUCCGGUCACCGCCGAUUCGUCGGUGGGAGGCUUGACCCACAAAACGACCUUGACCUCAAAUCGGGUGAGACUACCCGCUGAACUUAAGCAUAUCAAUAAGCGGAGGCU
This 462-nucleotide unclassified non-coding RNA is filed under the name uncultured Russula. RNAcentral's name for it is "sequence contains ITS2". The stretch from base 1 to 154 matches the Rfam family "5.8S ribosomal RNA". Lineage: Eukaryota; Fungi; Basidiomycota; Agaricomycetes; Russulales; Russulaceae. The record is from RNAcentral.